GCUGAAUCCUGUGCAAGGGGCUCGGUGUAGGCUGUUCAGGACUCUACUCCAGAGGCACAGCCCAGAUGGCUGUGGCAGGGAGAAAAAGCUUUCCUGCUUUCCGAACUAGAGCUGAAGGAUAAGAUCAGACCCAAGCAGACAGUUUGCCUGAAAAAGCCUCUGAGUGUGAGUGAUGCCACUCCUCCCUCAAUGGCACCAUGAAGUCUGAUUAACACAAGCGCUGCCCACGGUUACAGUCAGAAGCCGGAUGUCCAUAAACCAAAGGAGGGCCUGGAGGAGGGAAGAAGGUGACCUAUGCUUGCCUGAAACCCUGUCAACUUUCCUGAUCACAUUUCUUUGGACUGGAAUAUACACUGCCAGUGUGGAAUGCGUUUCCCUCUACCACCACCACUUCAGAAUAAAGAUUACAGCUGAAGCCCUUCA
Long non-coding RNA from Pipra filicauda (Wire-tailed manakin), 423 nucleotides. RefSeq lists it as uncharacterized. The transcript is spliced from 2 exons. The record is from RefSeq and is a predicted model, not a curated record. NCBI's taxonomy places the organism in Eukaryota, Metazoa, Chordata, Aves, Passeriformes, Pipridae.